RNAcentral lists this long non-coding RNA (260 nucleotides) under Trifolium pratense (red clover). RNAcentral describes it as "long non-coding RNA (TPRA_LNC006549)". Lineage: Eukaryota; Viridiplantae; Streptophyta; Magnoliopsida; Fabales; Fabaceae. The record is from RNAcentral.
AAUACCGAUUUUGAAAUCUAAAAUGUCUAAGUUAUGAUCCAACAACCAUAAUUGUCUUAACUGCAUUAAUGCGUCAAAUGACUGCAGAGAAUCAUGAUCCAUAUGUAUAACAAUCAUAUAAGUAUGGUGAAUAUAUUGUUUAGUUUCUCCUUCCAAAGAUCUGCCCCAUGGUUGGAAGUUUAGUACCAGCAGUGGAUUGAGAGGAUGAUGAUGAUGUUGGUGAUGGCCUAGUUGUUGGAAAAAGAACAUCCUGAAUGCUA